AUUGAACGCUGGCGGCAGGCUUAACACAUGCACGUCGAGCGAGCGGCGGACGGGUGAGUAAUGACUGGGAAACUGCCUGAUGGAGGGGGAUAACUACUGGAAACGGUAGCUAAUACCGCAUACCAUCAGAUGUGCCCAGAUGGGAUUAGCUAGUAGGGGGGGUAAUGGCUACCAUAGGCGACGAUCCCUAGCUGGUCUGAGAGGAUGACGAGCAACACUGGAACUGUGACAAGGUCCAGACUCCGACGGGAGGCAGCAGUGGGGAAGAUUGCACAAUGGGCGCAAGCCUGAUGCAGCCAUGCCGGGUGUGUGAAGAAGGCCUUCGGGUUGUAAAGCACUUUCAGCGAGGAGGCGUUACUCGCAGAAGAAGCACCGGCUAACUCCGGGACAGCAGCCGCGGUAAUAC
This 406-nucleotide ribosomal RNA is filed under the name uncultured bacterium. RNAcentral's name for it is "partial 16S ribosomal RNA". It matches the Rfam family "Bacterial small subunit ribosomal RNA", at positions 29 to 526 of the family's 1533-position model. The record is from RNAcentral.